CACGAACCGUACGAACGUUAUUCGGAAUUACUGGGCUUAAAGGGUUUGUAGGCGGCCAUGUAAGUGGGGUGUGAAAUCCCUCGGCUCAACCGAGGAACAGCGCUCCAAACUGUAUGGCUUGAGGGAGACAGGGGUAAGCGGAACUGAUGGUGGAGCGGUGAAAUGCGUUGAUAUCAUCAGGAACACCGGUGGCGAAAGCGGCUUACUGGGUCUCUUCUGACGCUGAGAAACGAAAGCUAGGAUAGCGAACGGG
This 253-nucleotide ribosomal RNA is filed under the name uncultured bacterium. RNAcentral describes it as "partial 16S ribosomal RNA". It matches the Rfam family "Bacterial small subunit ribosomal RNA", at positions 524 to 776 of the family's 1533-position model. The record is from RNAcentral.